RNAcentral lists this ribosomal RNA (425 nucleotides) under uncultured bacterium. RNAcentral's name for it is "partial 16S ribosomal RNA". It matches the Rfam family "Bacterial small subunit ribosomal RNA", at positions 354 to 796 of the family's 1533-position model. The record is from RNAcentral.
GUGGGGAAUCUUGCGCAAUGGGCGAAAGCCUGACGCAGCCAUGCCGCGUGAAUGAUGAAGGUCUUAGGAUUGUAAAAUUCUUUCACCGGGGACGAUAAUGACGGUACCCGGAGAAGAAGCCCCGGCUAACUUCGUGCCAGCAGCCGCGGUAAUACGAAGGGGGCUAGCGUUGCUCGGAAUUACUGGGCGUAAAGGGCGCGUAGGCGGACAGUUUAGUCAGAGGUGAAAGCCCAGGGCUCAACCAUGGAAUUGCCUUUGAUACUGGCUGGCUUGAGUACGGGAGAGGUAAGUGGAAAUCCUAGUGUAGAGGUGAAAUUCGUAGAUAUUCGGAAGAACACCAGUGGCGAAGGCGACUCACUGGCCCGUUACUGACGCUGAGGCGCGAAAGCGUGGGGAGCAAACAGGAUUAGAAACCCGAGUAGUCC